UACGGAGGAUGCGAGCGUUAUCCGGAUUUAUUGGGUUUAAAGGGUGCGUAGGCGGGCUGUUAAGUCAGCGGUAAAAGCUCGGGGCUCAACCCCGGCGAGCCGUUGAAACUGGCUGUCUUGAGAUGUCGAGAGGUAUGCGGAAUGCGCAGUGUAGCGGUGAAGUGCUUAGAUAUUGCGCAGAACUCCGAUUGCGAAGGCAGCAUACCGGCGGCGAUCUGACGCUGAGGCACGAAAGCGUGGGUAUCGAACAGG
RNAcentral lists this ribosomal RNA (252 nucleotides) under uncultured bacterium. RNAcentral describes it as "partial 16S ribosomal RNA". It matches the Rfam family "Bacterial small subunit ribosomal RNA", at positions 524 to 776 of the family's 1533-position model. The record is from RNAcentral.